This 480-nucleotide ribosomal RNA is filed under the name uncultured bacterium. RNAcentral describes it as "partial 16S ribosomal RNA". It matches the Rfam family "Bacterial small subunit ribosomal RNA", at positions 28 to 523 of the family's 1533-position model. The record is from RNAcentral.
GACCAACGCUGGCGGCGUGCUUAACACAUGCAAGUCGAGCGAGAGAAAUUCCUUCGGGAAGGACUCUAGCGGCGGACGGGUGAGUAACACGUGGGUAACCUGCCUCAUAGAGGGGAAUAGCCUUUCGAAAGGAAGAUUAAUACCGCAUAAGAUUGUAGUAUCGCAUGAUGCAGCAAUUAAAGGAGUAAUCCGCUAUGAGAUGGACCCGCGUCGCAUUAGCGAGUUGGUGAGGUAACGGCUCACCAAGGCGACGAUGCGUAGCCGACCUGAGAGGGUGAUCGGCCACAUUGGGACUGAGACACGGCCCAGACUCCUACGGGAGGCAGCAGUGGGGAAUAUUGCACAAUGGGGGAAACCCCGAUGCAGCAACGCCGCGUGAGUGAUGACGGUCUUCGGAUUGUAAAACUCUGUCUGCAGGGACGAUAAUGACGGUACCUGAGGAGGAAGCCACGGCUAACUACGUGCCAGCAGCCGCGGUAA